This 7532-nucleotide long non-coding RNA is filed under the name Sus scrofa (pig). RNAcentral's name for it is "lncRNA (ENSSSCG00040018731.1)". Lineage: Eukaryota; Metazoa; Chordata; Mammalia; Artiodactyla; Suidae. The record is from RNAcentral.
GAGUGCCAGCUUGUGAGAGAGUGGCAGCCUGAUGCCUGCACCCUGGGCCACUGAGUGUUAUUGCACCAUAUUGCAAAUUCUCCUCACUAGAAAGGGUACUUCCAAAGCUAUCUUGUGCUGAGUGUGUUCUGCAAUGGGUAUGGCUUAUCCACCACAUCCUCUCUCUCCCUGAUGUUUGUUCGAUGUUUAUAUGCCAACAGUUUUGACCGCUGAUAACUGAGAAAAUGUUUACAAAUGACAGUACUAGAAAGAAAACCAUGAAGAGCAACAUAAUGGAUGUCAAAAGUUAAGUUUUGUAGGAGCUUGAAAAUUCCUCAGAAAAAAAUGGUCAUGGAUAAGAAAAGAGAAGGAGAAAAUCAGCAGGCAAGAGACUGGUGGGAGUCCUUUGACACAUGAGGAGCCUAAACUAACAUUGUCGUCUGAGAGGACCUCCAGACAACUGUAUGAAUGGGGCUGAAGGAACAUGACAGGUCACGACUUCGGAGAAUGCAGAGAGGAGUGAAGAGCCAUUUGCCAAAGUACAAAAGAGGGAAUGUGAUUCCACAGGAUCUGUGCCAUAAAUAACCCUUAUGGCUCUUAUUCAAUUAGCGCUCCCUUUUCCAAGAGGACAAUCGAUGCUGCCAAACUGGGUAGGUAUGAUUAUUUUAUUUCUCCUACUGAAUGGUAAGCUCUUUUAACAAGAGAUUCUAUGUCUCAAUUAUAUUUGACUUCCUUAGGAGUCUACUACAGAGUCAUGCCAAAAACUUCUUAAAUGAAUGAAUGAAUGGAUUUCUGAAUGAAACAGACUAGUCACCAUCUCUGACAUGUCACUGUCAUGUGUAAUAAGGGUCUCUAGUGGACUAGUAACAAAAAUCCCACAUAGGUUGGGGUUCUCUGAUUUAUGUCUUCUCAUCACUUCAGAAUAUCUAGAUCUCACUUUCAGUCCAAUCAAAGUCUCCCACAAACUGAAUAUGUUGCCCACCAAAAAGGAGAUUCAGAAAUUAUUCCUUCCUCACCUAGGCAAUAUAGAUGAGUUUAUACAAAGAAAGUGACACCUUCAAGGGAGCCUAAUGGAGCAUUAUCUCCCCCUCUAAGAGGACAGAAGGAGAGGCAAGGCAGUGUGUUGGGUCUGGCCCAGGUUUAUCAGGUUUGAUUUUCCUUUCACUCAACACUCAGAGAGAGAGAGAGACCAACACUGGGCACCUUUGCAGGAAACUGCAGUGAUUUUAGCAGAGUAGAAAGUGGAAGAGUGAAAUGUUAUUACUAUAACAACUGACACCAUAAUUGUUCCUCAGAGAACAACUGUCUUUGCUGAGUAAAUACCUUGAUAAGCAGCUUACUUUGGAGGGUGAGUCAUGAGAAUAACAAAGAGAUAGAUAGCUAUCCUAUAUGAGAAAGCAAGAGCAAUGUGUUUUGUUACUGAAAGGUGAAAAAGAGAAAGGAUCUAAGACCUAAGGUGGAAAGGAGAGAGGAACUAGGAUGUAGGAUGAAGCUCUGGAGUAAUACCACUUGUGAAAGUUCUCCAGUGGUGGGGCAAAGACAUUUUUAAGAAUGAGGACAGUCUCAGGUUCAACACUCUUGAUAUGGCUAUACUUUAAAAUCCUCUUGUUAUACCUCAAAGUUUCUUAUUAAAAUCUACUAAUCACAAAAGAAAAUUGCUUUUAGGCAUAGAAACUGUGAAAACAAAGAGAAGAUUUAAUGUUUAGGUUGCUAUUUUGUGUCUUAAAUUUUGUUUAGGUUGAUAUUAUGAGAAACAAAAAUAGCAUAAAAGGGACAAUGAAACUACCCAUAAAGGAAGCAAGAGUUUAGAACCAAUGCUAAUGAAGAGAAAAUAAUUUCCCUAGAAAUUCCCUAGUAAUCCUGGGGAGUUUUUUUGAUCUCUCACAGAUGUGGAAUUGGAGCUUUGAGUCCAUCUUAUCUAGAUCUCAAGAGAAAGAAGGGCCCAACUAACAUCAAGGUUAUGGGCGAAUAACAAAAAUCUGUGUACAUUGGCAUUCUCUGGUUCACGCCCACUUAUUUUCAUAGAAUCAAAGGAUUUCACAUUCACUCCCAAAAAAGUCUCGCUAAAUCUUUCUAGAUGUUCCUCAGACACAUUCCUCAUGUAUGCCAGAAUAAGACUAUCUGCCACUACUUGGUGACCGUCACUUUUCCUCUUUCCGUGCUUGCCUCAUGGAUGUGACUUCUCACUGCCAGCACUACCUCUUACCACAGGUGUUGCUUCCAAUGGCUAUCCCCUUCUCCCCUGACCAAAGUCACAUCCCAAUUAAGUCAUUCUUUCUAAAGUGUGGAGAUUCCACAUGUUUUAAUUAUCCGAGGCUGUGUAAAAAACCACCCCAAAACUUAGUGGCUUAAAACAACAACUUAUUAUUUCUCAUGAUCCUGUGGGUUGACUGAGCAUUUUUUCCUGCUUCAUGUAGUGUCAGAGGCUAGGAUGCUAGAAGAUCAAAAAUGGCCUCGUUGACAAUGGCUGGCGCUUAGUGCUGGCUGGAGGCUAAGAACUCAGUUAGGGCUGGAGGCUGGAGGCUUUGGUUUUCCUCCAGUGGGUCUUAUCCUGUGGUUUCUUGGGCUUCCUCACAACAUGGUGGCCGAGUUCCAAGAAAAGUGAAAGGGGAAGCUGUAGAUCUCUUAAGGCCGGGCAUUAGAAGUUACAUAACAUCACCUCUGCAAUAUUCUAUUGGUAAAAUCUAAAGAAGGGAAAAAUACAUUCCAUUUCUUUAUGGGAAAAAAGAAAAGAAAGGAAGAAAGAAAAAUUGCAGUCAUCCUUAACUUACUACACCAUCCUACUCUGCGUGCACACACACACACACACACACACACACACACUCCAGUGCUGUACUCUCUCACACUGAAUCUCUAAGCACCCCUCUACUUCCAACCUCUUGCAGAGAGUCUAUAUGAGAACCACAAGUCUAUUUCUAUUGGCAGCACCCUAAGGCUUAGAAAACAGAAGAGGAGAGUCUGGUAGCAGCACCAGUCUGCUGAAUUGAUCCCUCCCUGCCAAGCAGUCUCCUGCCUAAACUCCCUUGCUUUUCAGCCCACAUUUCCUCCUUUGACCAGCCCGUUUAUCACAGGGUUUCUGCUGCACUGGCUUACUCAAAAAAGCAUGAGUUCACCUUAAUCAGAAAGAUAUGCAUGUGCCAUCUUUGAUAAGGGGCUAACUAUGAAAUGUCUCUGCUAUGUAUCCACUAUUGGCACAGAGGCGACAGACUCUUCAAAGUGUUCAUGAUGGUCACAGAUUACUGCAACUCCCUGAAUCUAACUCAGCACAGCAAUUCGGCUCUCUGGAAGUAUGCCUCAACUACCUCAACCUGAACUACUUUAGAAGGACUCCCAGUGGGUCAAGGUCCUGAUCUGGUGCAAUUCCAAAAUUUUCUGGUGCGUCCAGGAAGCUAAGAAGGUGAAAAAUCACACAGCUACACUUACCCCCCCAAAACAAAUUCCCAGCAUGGUACAGUCCCUGAUCAGCCUGUGUCUAGAUCCAAGACUAGCAAAAAAUCCUAGGGGGUUAAAAAAAAGGUAGAAGAUAGAACUGAAUGAGGAAGAAGAGGAGUGUAGCAUUUCUAAUUCCCACCUUGUCCUCAGCAUAGAAGUUUAAAACUGCUAACAUUGCAAAAGGAUGACUUUCCUCCUGUUCCCUGUCCAGACAACCAAGAUUCUGACCUGACCAACUGCUAAAACCAUACCCCAAGGACAGUUACCAAUUAAGCAAAUUAAGCCAGAGAUAAGGUACAGUCUUUCCCCAGUCCACACUUCAGGAUUCAAACUGCUCCUCUCCACCCUCAACUUUCAGAAGAAACACAGUCAAGGAGAAGAGCACUUGAUGACAACCAAAGGGACAAUGAGUUUCUUCCCACGGUAGCUUCCCACCAACUCCUGACUCCGAGCUUCACUGUGUUUUGUUAUGAAUAUUAAAAAGGAAAAGCUGCUAUCAGCAAGAGCAGGGUGUUUGUGAUAAAUUACUGUCUUGGCUUCUAUUGAUUAAUUGCAAUUCAUUAUUCAGACAGGUGAUGGGCAAUUCAUGUUACUCCCACUUCCUGGAGAUGAUCAGCAGCCAGAUCUUCCAAACAGCUAAGUGAAAAAACAGGAACAACUCAGGACAGUGAAUGGUGUGUUGCUGAAUGCCCUGUUUCAUUAGUUCUCCCUAUCAUCAUCUCAUGGAGAAGCAAAUUUCCAAUUCAGAUGAAUCUGUAUCAUCAUCUGAAAGCAGGAACAGCAAAAUACGUUUUUCCUUAAUGAGAAAAAGUAGUGCAAAUCUGAAGAAGCACAGUGUCCCAACUGCACACCUUUGCUGCUGCUCUCAGGUCUGAAGGUCAUGUCCUUUCCCCUCCCUGUCUCCCUCGACCCUUCUCUUUAUUCAUCCAACUCAUUCUCAGACUUCUCUCCAAAAGCCACUCUAACUCCACAAGUGAGGCCAGCACUUUUCUUCUGCACCCCUCUAUCCCCCGUUCUCACCUCCACUGCUGCACUUGCCCGAUGUAAAGUUACUCAGUCAUGGUCAUGUGUCUCUCCAGAACAGGAGGCCGAUAAAGAUUAGCGCUGUGUCUUUCUCUGCUUGCGUCACUAGAUCCUGAUCCCCUCUCUGGCACAUACAAAGUAUUGAAUCCACAUUGAACUGAGCUGAACAGACAUCUAACAUACUAUUUAGUGACUUUUAGCAUCCUCUGCCUUCUCCUUGAUGGUAGCAAAUCAGUUAUAUUAUUAUGUUUCAUAGUCAUGAGGUUAAAUUAAAUGCAUCUCAAAGAAGUUUUGAGCUUGCCUGAUCUCUGCUCUCUAAAAUAAUGUGGGUGAACAGUAUAGCAGCAAUACUUUUCUAUUACUUUCUUGACUCAGUCUUUGAGUCGCUUUUCCAGUAAGAAGUAUCCUUUGUUAAGGUAUCCACAGUCUCUCCUGAGUUCUUAUUGCGCUAAAGCCAGAUGUUUGCAAGUUAUAUGGCCAUUCUGGGAACGCUGUCCCACAGAUUGACAGGAUAAACUUACAACUUGCCCUCACCAACACUUUACAUACAUGCUCCCACACACAUGUAUAUGUGUACAAGAGUGUGCCCAUUUGCAGAUAGUUUCUGAAUUUAUCCUUGAAAAGCCCCCAUAAAGCUUCUCAGAAUUAUAAGGACUCUCAAUUACAUUUCAAAUACACAGAAUUUUUUUAUUUAAUAUUUUUAAGACCACACCUGUAGCACAUCGAAGUUCCUGGGGCUAGGGGUUGAACUGGAGCUGCAGCUGCCAGCCUACACCACAACAACAGCAAUACUAGAUCUGAGCAGCAUCUGUGACCUAUGCAGCAGCUAGUGGCAACACCAGAUCCUUAACACAAUGAGCAAGGUCAGGGAUAGAACCCAAGUCCUCAUGGACACUAUAUUGGGUUCUUAACCAGCUGAGCCACAACAGGAACUCCCGAAUUUUUUUUUUUUAUUUUUUUUAUUGUGCUCAAAAGAAUUAUUUUCUGCUUACCUUCCUUUCAAAGUCACUGAUGCUAAACUUCAAGGCCUGGGUGUUCCCAGGUAUCUUCUGGUGAAUUUCUUUUUUUACCUGUCAAGUUUUCCAAAGUCAAGGGUAACUCAAGGAGUUCCCAUUGUGGCUCAGCAAUAACAAACCCAGCUAGUAUCCAUGAGGGCUCUAUCCCUGGCCUCGCUCAGUGGGUUAAGGAUCUAUCUUUGCUGUGAGCUCCGGUGUAGGUUGCAGAUGCUGCUCAGAUCUAGAGUUGCUGUGGCUAUGGUAUAAGCCUGCAGCUGCAACUCUGAUUCGACCCCUAGCCUGGGAACUUGCACAUGCUGCAGAUGUGGCCCUAAAAAGACAAAAAAAAGCGGGGGGGUGUAACUCCACAAAGGCACUGCACCCUUCUUCUGGCAUUCCAGUAGAUUGGGAUGGAUUACAUAGAUUCUCUGCCUCUGGGUUGGACGAUUAUGGCCCUGAAGGUAGAUACCCUCAGAUGAUGUAAGGUGUACAUAGUAUGUGGUACCCUUACUUUCCUCCAAGGUGUUCUUAUUUAAAGUAAGGGAGGCAGCAAGAAGUCUCAGAAGAUACUCCAGACUGGGAGUCAGGAGAACUGUCUCAAAUAUUUUACAGAAGGAAGUGGUACAUGAAUACGUAAAUAGGUAAGUAGGUAGAUAAGUAAAUAAACAGAAUUUCUCUACUAACCAGCACUCUGAGAUUAGGCAAGUCAUCCCUCCCCUCUGGGCCUUAGUGUCUGGUUCUCUAAAAUGAGGGGGAAGGCGUUGGACUGGUUGGUCACCAAGCUGUGUUCAAGGCUUCUAGUCUACGAUGUCAUCUGUGAAUAGCUUUCCUUCCUCCCGCUUUCCCAUUCUCACUGCCGGUAUGUCUCCUCAUUCCCCACCAUCCUCUCCCAUGGAUCUUUCUCCUCAAGGUGACUUUAGAUCUGCUGAGAUCUGCUUCCUUACAUUUCAUUCGUUUAUGGCCCUGGAAUUCUAUCACUCCUCAGUCCAUGGCCCUUCUCCAUGGUGGCCGUUUGCCCUUCAAUCUUUAAAUGCUUUCUUCAUGUUAACAAGAAGCAAAGAAAAGCCCCUGACUCCCUUAUUUCCGGUAGCGAACAGUUCUGAAGUGACCUGAAAAGUUAAUGUAACUUCCUCAAAUGCCUCACGCAUGGACCUACAGAGAAGUGAAGCCGCUGGCUCACCCUGGCUCUCAGUCAUCUGUUUUUAAUUGCAUCUGUCCCCGUAUUAGCCAUGGGCUUCAGUUUCACAGCCUGGGAUGAGCCAUUCAGGGAAACCACCUUCCCCGUCUUCCCCAAACACCUCCAGCCUGAAAGGAGCCGUCAUGGAUAGCAUCUCACGUUGAUAGUUUUCCUUUUAAUAUUUAUAAACAGCAAAGUAUUUUUCUCUCCCCCACUUGAAAUGUAUAUAUUCACUCAUUAAAAGGCAUUGACGUGGCUGAGGUAAUGGCCUGUCGACAGAUUUACAGCAGGAACCAUCUCACUGCCUGCAGGCCUGUGCGUUUUAAUAUAAUUAAAAGGCUUCUGUUUGGAAUCUUAGCUAAUUAAUAUUCAUGCUUUCCUCCUUCCACCUGCCAUUCCCAAUUUGCUGUCUUUUUAGGAGAUUGAUCAUGGCCCAAUUAAUCCUACCACCAGUCAAAGCAAGGCAGGCAGGGGAAGAAAGGGGGAAAUGCCAUUGCAGUGCUGGCUUCCUAAUGAGAAAAGAGCAUGAAAGAAUGGAAAUCGCCUGGUUUAUGAGGAAAGAAUCUCUAUGAAUAUGGGAACUGGUAAGAGUGGAACCACUGACCAGGAAUUGUGGAUUAACUGCUCUCACUGAAGUGAGCUCAACUUAUUAAUCUUCGAGCGUCUUCACAAGUUUCAUUCAUGCUACAAAUCAGAACAGGAAACUGGAGAAGCAGGUAAUAUAUUUUUUUUUUUAUUUUUUAAAAGAGAAUAAAAGUGAAAAUGGCAGCAACAGGUAUUUCUCACUACUCAGUAACUGAGAAAACCAUCCACCAAUCGAAGUGUGGUCACAUAUUUUUCUUUGUCUCUGCCAUUCUUUAACACCCAGGCUUACGAAUGGAAAUUGUUUUGCCGGAAAAAAACAAAAACUAAAAACAAAAAAAAAA